UACUAACACACUUUGUUUCUAAUGGAAAAUGAAAUAUACAGUUUUCAGUGGACUAUCCGAACGAUAAUAUCACGGCCGUUAGUGGAACCUACAAACGUGUUUACACCUAUGAUACGACUCUCAUCACAUCACUUUACUUCACAACCUCCAAAGGUUUCACCUCUCCAUUAUUCGGUAUCGACAGUGAAAAGAAGGGAACAGACUUCGAGUUCAAAGGUGAAAAUGGAGGAAAGCUUAUUGGUUUGCAUGGACGUGGUGGUAAUGCGAUUGAUGCCAUUGGAGCUUACUUCGACACCGGUUCACAAGGAGGUAAGGGCGGCGGCGGCGGUUCACAAACUGAUGUCCCCGGGAAGAAGGGACCUCUUGGUGGUGAAAAAGGAGAAGAGUUCAACGAUGUUGGUUUCGAAGGUGUGAAGAAAAUUACCGUUGGAGCCGAUCAAUACAGUGUAACUUACAUCAAGAUCGAAUACGUGAAAGAUGGAAAAGUCGAAGUCCGUGAGCACGGGACAAGUCGUGGGGAGCUACAAGAGGUAACAAAUGCGAAAUUUUGUCACACUAUUCAACUGGUUCGUUACUAAUAUAGAUUUGUUUCUAAUAAACAGUUUUCAGUGGACUAUCCUAACGAUAGUAUUACGGCCGUUAGUGGAACCUACAAACAUAUUUUCACCUAUGAUACGACUCUCAUCACAUCGCUUUACUUCACAACCUCCAAAGGUUUCACCUCUCCAUUAUUCGGUAUCGACAGUGAAAAGAAGGGAACAGAAUUCGAGUUCAAAGGUGAAAAUGGAGGAAAGCUUCUUGGGUUCCACGGACGUGGCGGUAAUGCUAUUGAUGCAAUAGGAGCUUACUUCGACACCGGUUCACAAGGAGGUAAGGGUGGCGACGGUUCAAAAACUGAUGUCCCAGGGAAGAAGGGACCUCUUGGUGGUGACAAGGGAGAAGAGUUCAACGAUGUUGGUUUCGAAGGUGUGAAGAAAAUUACCGUAGGAGCCGAUCAAUACAGUGUAACUUACAUCAAGAUCGAAUACGUGAAAGAUGGAAAAGUCGAAAUCCGUGAGCACGGGACAAGUCGUGGGGAACUACAAGAGGUAAUAAAUGCGAAUUUUUGUCACACUAUUCAAUUGGUUCGUUACUAAUAUAGAUUUGUUUCUAACCAACAGUUUUCAGUGGACUAUCCUAACGAUAGUAUUACGGCCGUUAGUGGAACCUACAAACGUGUUUACACCUAUGAUACGACUCUCAUCACAUCACUUUACUUCACAACCUCCAAAGGUUUCACCUCUCCAUUAUUCGGUAUCAACAGUGAGAAGAAGGGAACCGAAUUCGAGUUCAAAGGUGAAAAUGGAGGAAAGCUUAUUGGUUUGCAUGGACGUGGUGGUAAUGCUAUUGAUGCAAUUGGAGCUUACUUUGACACCGGUUCACAAGGUGGUGACGGAGGCGACGUCCCUAGUAAAGACGGUCCUAACACUGAUGUCCCCGGGAAGAAGGGACCGCUUGGUGGUGACAAGGGAGAACCAUUCGACGAUGUUGGUUUUGAAGGUGUGAAGAAAAUAACCGUCGGAGUAGACAACUUAAGCAUAACUUAUAUCAAGAUCGAAUACGUAAAAGAUGGAAAAGUUGAAGUCCGUGAGCACGGAACGGCUCGUGGGAAACUACAAGAGGUAUAAAAUAAAAUUUAUUGGUGACUUAUGUUAAAAUAUUCAAUUAGUUUGAUACUAAUACGUUUGCUUCUAAUGGUAAAUGAAAUACAGUUUUCAGUGGACUAUCCAAACGAUAGUAUCACGGAAGUUGCUGGAACCUACAAACAUAACUACACCUAUGAUACGACUCUCAUCACAUCGCUUUACUUCACAACCUCCAAAGGUUUCACCUCUCCAUUGUUCGGUAUCGACAGUGAAAAGAAGGGAACAGAAUUCGAGUUCAAAGAUGAAAAUGGAGGAAAACUUAUUGGGUUUCAUGGACGUGGUGG
RNAcentral lists this long non-coding RNA (1969 nucleotides) under Brassica rapa (field mustard). RNAcentral's name for it is "long non-coding RNA (BRAP_LNC003995)". Lineage: Eukaryota; Viridiplantae; Streptophyta; Magnoliopsida; Brassicales; Brassicaceae. The record is from RNAcentral.